RNAcentral lists this ribosomal RNA (478 nucleotides) under uncultured bacterium. RNAcentral's name for it is "bacterial SSU rRNA". It matches the Rfam family "Bacterial small subunit ribosomal RNA", at positions 29 to 507 of the family's 1533-position model. The record is from RNAcentral.
AUGAACGCUGGCGCGUGCCUAACACAUGCAAGUCAACUUGACUGAAGGAGCAAUCUGACAGUAGAGUGGCGCAAGGGUGCGUAACGCGUAAGUAACUUGCCCCAAGGUAAGGAAUAACGUCGAGAAAUCGGCGCUAAUACCUCAUAAUGCAGCGGAUCCGCAUGGAUAUGUUGUUAAAGGUUUACCGCCUUGGGAUAGGCUUGCGUCUGAUUAGCUAGUUGGUGUGGUAACGGCACACCAAGGCUACGAUCAGUAACUGGUCUGAGAGGAUGAUCAGUCACACUGGAACUGAGACACGGUCCAGACUCCUACGGGAGGCAGCAGUGAGGAAUAUUGGGCGAUGCUCGAAAGAGUGACCCAGCAACGCCGCGUGGAGGAUGAAGGUAUUCUAUAUCGUAAACUCCUGUGAGAGCAGACGAAAGACAGAUUAUUAAUCUGGAUGACUGUAUGCUCAGAGGAAGCCCCGGCUAACUACGUG